RNAcentral lists this ribosomal RNA (233 nucleotides) under uncultured bacterium. Its description in RNAcentral is "partial 16S ribosomal RNA". It matches the Rfam family "Bacterial small subunit ribosomal RNA", at positions 524 to 756 of the family's 1533-position model. The record is from RNAcentral.
UACGUAGGGUGCGAGCGUUAAUCGGAAUUACUGGGCGUAAAGCGUGCGCAGGCGGUUUUGUAAGCCAGAUGUGAAAGCCCCGGGCUUAACCUGGGAAUGGCAUUUGGGACUGCAAGGCUUGAGUGCGGCAGAGGAGACUGGAAUUCCUGGUGUAGCAGUGAAAUGCGUAGAUAUCAGGAGGAAUACCGAUGGCGAAGGCAGGUCUCUGGGCUGACACUGACGCUCAUGCACGA